AUCUUGAAUCAAAGUGUGUGGGUCUAGCACCAAACGGUGCUUUUCAUUUGCCAAUUAAAAGACAAAAGCCAUUGAAUGGCAUUUCUUCAGCAAAACCCCACCCUUCAUUUUCUCUGCCAUUUUUAGAAAAAGAAAAUAACACCCCCCACCUAAAUCUCUACUAGGAUUUCAACCCGAAGCGCCGCAAAUGGAGGGUCAUCGGCACUUCCAUGCCAUCGCCUCUAGUGCCGAUCCACGGCGAACCCAGAUAUCUCGGAGGCGUGGGAGCGUGGCAUGAAGUAGAGCACGAUUCGGAAGCUUGGCGCGCGUCGUACUCUACUUGGACUCGAAGCUUGCGGCGCCGAUUUCCUUCUGCUGCUAGGGUGUUGGGUUGGCUCUAUGUUUUGUGUAUUGGGCUGAGAGAUGUGGGUUAGGUUUUGGGUAAUCUGUUGGGCUUUGGGUUUGUUUUAAAUUUGGUCCUACAGCUAUCAUAUUGAUUAUUCUUCAUCCAUGAUUAGGAAAUUGAUAAUAUUUUUAGAUUGGUGGAAUUUGAUUGUUAUCUUGUUAGUUGAUUAAACGAAUUAUCUUAUCUCCAUUCAUCAAUCAUAGUAACUCAUACAUGUA
Molecule: long non-coding RNA, 603 nt
Organism: Gossypium arboreum
Lineage: Eukaryota; Viridiplantae; Streptophyta; Magnoliopsida; Malvales; Malvaceae
Exons: 2
Source: RefSeq, a predicted model, not a curated record